Molecule: long non-coding RNA, 971 nt
Organism: Clupea harengus (Atlantic herring)
Lineage: Eukaryota; Metazoa; Chordata; Actinopteri; Clupeiformes; Clupeidae
Source: Ensembl
UAGCAAGUAAAUGUGAUUCACUGCAGUGCAGAGUCUUGACACAGAAUUGAGACCAAGGCUUAUGUGAUCAUAUCAUUGAGUCCAUUUGUGUAAUUGCCAGCAGUGGCUAGAAAUAUUAGCAAUCUCAGGGUCAUAACAUACUCACCGGGGCAGCACAAGGGAGGAUUAUUUUCAUGUGAUGCAAGUGACGACAAGAAUGUUUGUGCAGAGGCAGAAAGGUACAGAGACAGAGAGAGGCAGAAAGGUUCAGAGACUCAGAGACACAGAGAGGCAGAAAGGUACAGAGACACAGAGACACAGAGAGGCAGAAAGGUACAGAGACACAGAGAGGCAGAAAGGUUGAGAGACACAGAGGGUUAGAGAGGCAGAAAGGUUGAGAGACACAGAGAGGCAGAAAGAUUCAGAGACACAAAGAGGCAGAGAGGCAGAAAGGUUCAGACACAGAGAUGCAGAAAGGAUCAGAGACACAGAGCUACAGAGGCAGAAAGGUUGAGAGACUCAGAGAGGUUGAGAGACACAGAGCUAAAGAGGCAGAAAGGUUGAGAGACUCAGAGAGGUUGAGAGACACAGAGCUAAAGAGGCAGAAAGGUGCAGAGACACAGAGGGCUACAGAGGCAGAAAGGUUCAGAGACUCAGAGACACAGAGAGAGGCAGAAAGGUGCAGAGACACGGAGAGGCAGAAAGGUUGAGAGACACAGAGAGGCAGAAAGGUGCAGACACAGAGGGCUACAGAGCAAUGAACAGACUUCCAGUUUCAACUCACCCUGGAAACUUUCCUGCGUGCUCUGGGCCGCUUCCCUCGUAUUACUCCCUGCCAGCAGGUGUCCCAGUGAGCGUCCCACCCUAAUGUGUGAAUGAUUGGAAACGGUAGGAGGUGAAGUGGGGGGAUAUGUGCUUUGAGAGAGGAAACCUGCUCUCAGGAUGUGAGGUGGAUUUAACUGCUAUGACAUCCUUUUACAAAUAAACGGUCG